GUCUACAGCCAUGCCAACCUGAACACACCCGAUCUUGUCUGAUCUCAGAAGCUAAGCAGGGUCGUGCCUGGUUAUUACUUGGAUGGGAGACCACCUAGGAAGACCGGGUGCAGUAGGGG
This 119-nucleotide ribosomal RNA is filed under the name Pteropus alecto (black flying fox). The record is from RNAcentral. Lineage: Eukaryota; Metazoa; Chordata; Mammalia; Chiroptera; Pteropodidae.